GUAGGUGGCAAGCGUUGUCCGGAAUUAUUGGGCGUAAAGCGCGCGCAGGUGGUUCUUUAAGUCUGAUGUGAAAGCCCCCGGGCUCAACCGGGGAGGGUCAUUGGAAACUGGGGAACUUGAGUGCAGGAGAGGAAAGUGGAGUUCCACGUGUAGCGGUGAAAUGCGUAGAUAUGUGGAGGAACACCAGUGGCGAAGGCGACUUUCUGGCCUGUAACUGACACUGAGGCGCGAAAGCGUGGGGAGCAAACAGGAUUAGAUACCCUGGUAGUCCACGCCGUAAACGAUGAGUGCUAAGUGUUGGGGGGUUUCCGCCCCUCAGUGCUGCAGCUAACGCAUUAAGCACUCCGCCUGGGGAGUACGGUCGCAAAGACUG
RNAcentral lists this ribosomal RNA (373 nucleotides) under uncultured organism. RNAcentral describes it as "partial 16S ribosomal RNA". It matches the Rfam family "Bacterial small subunit ribosomal RNA", at positions 527 to 896 of the family's 1533-position model. The record is from RNAcentral.